Chrysemys picta bellii (western painted turtle) is the source of this 1203-nucleotide non-coding RNA. The record is from RefSeq and is a predicted model, not a curated record. NCBI's taxonomy places the organism in Eukaryota, Metazoa, Chordata, Testudines, Emydidae.
AAUCCAGGACAAAUGCUGUUCCAGAGUCAUUCAGCCUUGGACCGGGACUUGAAAUGUACAUUUUGGUGCUGUCCUGCCCAAUCAGGGACGGGUGGCCACCCUAGCUGCACUAUCUCCACUGCAGCACUGGAAGGGCUGUUAUGCUCAAGAGAACCAUUUUUGGGGCAAAAUGAGAGUUGGGUCUUCUGGCAUUUCAGUUCCUGGAUGGUGGCAAUACCAGUUCUCUUGUUACAUUGGCAUCAUGAAGUGCCACUGGGAGCUAUUUCUACGUCUGUGGAAAAGCAAACACAAAUCUGAAUCCUAUGGAACAGAAGUUAAUGGUGCAUUGGACAAUGGCAAGUUCAGAUAAUGGCAUCAUCAAGAGCCUUCCAGCAUUAAUCACAAACACAGACUUUGUCAAACAUAUUUCAGCGUGACUCUGGGGGAAGCUAGGGAAACACUUUGAACAUUGCACUGAAAGGCAUUCAGUGGAAAUGUAUGAUUUCCAGAAAUGUCACAAAUCACAAGUAGAACAAAGACCAUAUAAUUGCUGUGUUGACCAACAAUCAAGUUGUGUCUAUUGCCGCCAGCUGGUUAGGUUUUAAAGGAAAGCAGUGUAAGAUUCAUAGCAUCAUGUGGCAUGCAUGCCAGUGAAGUGAAAAGCACGUCACACAUACCUCUUGGGCAAUGGUAGCCUGUUAUGUUUAUUAAGGUUAUGCCAUGACACUGCUAGUAUGCUAUGUGGAAAGCAGGAGUGAUUACUCUUUAGCUAGGGAUUUCCCUUUCUUUCGAGGAACGCCUUACAACUUUAACAUUUGUGUGACUCUUUCAUUAGGAACAACAGUCAUUUUAUGAUGGUUUGUGUCAGUCAAUACAGAUUCUACUUUAAAUGUAUUUCUCACUUAUGCCAAUUACUCUUCGGCUAGAUUGCAAACCAUUUUUAAUAAGUCAUUUUAUAUUGCAAAUAGGGUUGCCAGUUGUCCGGUUUUUGUCUGGAACGCAUGAUGGAAAAGGGACCCUGGUGGCUCUGGUCAGCACCCUGACUGGGCCCUUAAAAGUCCGCUUGGCGGCGCAGCGGGGCUAAGGCAGGCUCCCUGCAGCUCCCAGAAGCAGCAGCAUGUCCCCACUCAGCUCCUACUCAUUGGGGCAACCAGGGGGCUCUGCACACUGCCCCUGCCCAAAGUACUGUCUCCGGCUCCCAUUGGUCGGGAAACACGGCCAAUA